GACCAGACUCCUACGGGAGGCAGCAGUGGGGAAUAUUGCACAAUGGGGGAAACCCUGAUGCAGCGACGCCGCGUGAGUGAAGAAGUAUUUCGGUAUGUAAAGCUCUAUCAGCAGGGAAGAAAAUGACGGUACCUGACUAAGAAGCCCCGGCUAACUACGUGCCAGCAGCCGCGGUAAUACGUAGGGGGCAAGCGUUAUCCGGAUUUACUGGGUGUAAAGGGAGCGUAGACGGCAUGGCAAGUCAGAUGUGAAAGCCCGGGGCUCAACCCCGGGACUGCAUUUGAAACUGUCAGGCUGGAGUGCAGGAGAGGUAAGUGGAAUUCCUAGUGUAGCGGUGAAAUGCGUAGAUAUUAGGAGGAACACCAGUGGCGAAGGCGGCUUACUGGACUGUAACUGACGUUGAGGCUCGAAAGCGUGGGGAGCAAACAGGAUUAGAUACCCCCGUACG
This 448-nucleotide ribosomal RNA is filed under the name uncultured bacterium. Its description in RNAcentral is "bacterial SSU rRNA". It matches the Rfam family "Bacterial small subunit ribosomal RNA", at positions 329 to 793 of the family's 1533-position model. The record is from RNAcentral.